AUUGAACGCUGGCGGCAGGCUUAACACAUGCAAGUCGAGCGGGGUGAUGGUGCUUGCACUAUCACUUAGCGGCGGACGGGUGAGUAAUGCUUAGGAAUCUGCCUAUUAGUGGGGGACAACAUCUCGAAAGGGAUGCUAAUACCGCAUACGUCCUACGGGAGAAAGCAGGGGAUCACUUGUGACCUUGCGCUAAUAGAUGAGCCUAAGUCGGAUUAGCUAGUUGGUGGGGUAAAGGCCUACCAAGGCGACGAUCUGUAGCGGGUCUGAGAGGAUGAUCCUCCACACUGGGACUGAGACACGGUCCAGACUCCUACGGGAGGCAGCAGUGGGGAAUUUUGGACAAUGGGCGAAAGCCUGAUCCAGCCAUUCCGCGUGCAGGAUGAAGGCCCUCGGGUUGUAAACUGCUUUUGUACAGAACGAAAAGGUUUCUACUAAUACUAGGAGCUCAUGACGGUACUGUAAGAAUAAGCACCGGCUAACUACGUGCCAGCCGCCGCCGUAA
Molecule: ribosomal RNA, 502 nt
Filed under: uncultured bacterium
Lineage: Bacteria
Description: partial 16S ribosomal RNA
Rfam family: Bacterial small subunit ribosomal RNA
Source: RNAcentral